RNAcentral lists this ribosomal RNA (231 nucleotides) under uncultured bacterium. Its description in RNAcentral is "partial 16S ribosomal RNA". It matches the Rfam family "Bacterial small subunit ribosomal RNA", at positions 355 to 603 of the family's 1533-position model. The record is from RNAcentral.
UGGGGAAUAUUGGACAAUGGGGGCAACCCUGAUCCAGCAAUGCCGCGUGUGUGAAGAAGGUCUUCGGAUUGUAAAGCACUUUCGACGGGGACGAUGAUGACGGUACCCGUAGAAGAAGCCCCGGCUAACUUCGUGCCAGCAGCCGCGGUAAUACGAAGGGGGCUAGCGUUGCUCGGAAUGACUGGGCGUAAAGGGCGUGUAGGCGGUUUACACAGUCAGAUGUGAAAAUCC